GAUGAAGAACGUAGCGAAAUGCGAUACGUAGUGUGAAUUGCAGAAUUCAGUGAAUCAUCGAAUCUUUGAACGCACAUUGCACCUCUCGGUAUUCCGGGAGGUAUGCCUGUUCGAGCGUCAUUUGUACCCUCAAGCUCUGCUUGGUGUUGGGUGUUUGUUCCGCCUCUGUGUGUGAACUCGCCUCAAAACAAUUGGCAGCCGGCGUACUUGUUUCGGAGCGCAGCACAUUUUGCGAUCCAGCUCAACGUACAGCGGCAUCCAAGAAGCCUUAUUUAACGCUCUUGACCUCGGAUCAGGUAGGGAUACCCGCUGAACUUAAGCAUAUCAAUAAGCGGAGGA
RNAcentral lists this unclassified non-coding RNA (339 nucleotides) under soil metagenome. Its description in RNAcentral is "partial contains 5.8S ribosomal RNA, internal transcribed spacer 2, and large subunit ribosomal RNA". The stretch from base 1 to 120 matches the Rfam family "5.8S ribosomal RNA", at positions 35 to 154 of the family's 154-position model. The record is from RNAcentral.